This 900-nucleotide ribosomal RNA is filed under the name uncultured archaeon. RNAcentral's name for it is "bacterial SSU rRNA". It matches the Rfam family "Archaeal small subunit ribosomal RNA", at positions 23 to 922 of the family's 1478-position model. The record is from RNAcentral.
GUUACUGCUAUCGGAGUUCGAUUAAGCCAUGCGAGUCUAUAGGUUUCUUCGGAAACCUUGGCGGACUGCUCAGUAACACGUGGAUAACCUACCCUUGGGACUGGAAUAACCCCGGGAAACUGGGGAUAAUACCGGAUAGAUCAGGGAUGCUGGAAUGCGCCUUGAUCCAAAGCUCCGGCGCCCAAGGAUGGGUCUGCGGCCUAUCAGGUUGUAGUGGGUGUAGCGUACCUACUAGCCGACGACGGGUACGGGUUGUGAGAGCAAGAGCCCGGAGAUGGAUUCUGAGACACGAAUCCAGGCCCUACGGGGUGCAGCAGGCGCGAAAACUUUACAAUGUGCGAAAGCAUGAUAAGGGAACUCCGAGUGCCAGUAUCUAAUACUGGCUGUCCUUGUGCCUAAAACGCACAAGAUAGCAAGGGCCGGGUAAGACCGGUGCCAGCCGCCGCGGUAACACCGGCGGCCCGAGUGGUAGCCGCUAUUAUUGGGUCUAAAGGGUCCGUAGCCGGUUCGAUAAGUCUUCUGGGAAAUCUGGUUGCUUAACAAUCAGACUGCCAAGGGAUACUGUCGAACUUGAGACCGGGAGAGGUAAGAGGUACUUCAGGGGUAGGAGUGAAAUCUUGUAAUCCCUGGGGGACCAUCUGUGGCGAAGGCGUCUUACCAGAACGGGUCUGACGGUGAGGGACGAAAGCUGGGGGCGCAAACCGGAUUAGAUACCCGGGUAGUCCCAGCCGUAAACGAUGCUCGCUAUGUGUCAGGUACGGUGUGACCGUAUCUGGUGCCGUAGGGAAGCCGUGAAGCGAGCCACCUGGGAAGUACGGUCGCAAGACUGAAACUUAAAGGAAUUGGCGGGGGAGCACUACAACGGGUGGAGCCUGCGGUUUAAUUGGAGUCAACGCCGGA